Molecule: microRNA, 22 nt
Filed under: Danio rerio (zebrafish)
Lineage: Eukaryota; Metazoa; Chordata; Actinopteri; Cypriniformes; Danionidae
Also listed under: 9 other names
Description: dre-miR-30e-5p
Gene: dre-miR-30e-5p
Source: miRBase by way of RNAcentral
UGUAAACAUCCUUGACUGGAAG